AGAACCAGAGGAGAUUGAAGACCACCAAAUUGUAAUUGGUGCCGCGGRUCGCCUUCCAUCAAGGACAGAGUCACCUUCCUCUGGAGGAGAACAGAGUCCUCGGAGAGGAACCGCUGCUUGUGAGUCUGCUGCGAGAACUGGGUCUUCCUCAAACUGUCAAUAAUGUGUCGAGGAGGAGGGAAACCAGGAGCGUCCUCCUCGCUGCUGAUGGAUACGCUCACACCUCAGAGAAGUAAACAGCAUCGAUUCCYUCCCACUAUCACCUCUAACUCGCUCCCAGCCUCCAUCCAAUAAGCUCCUUUAUGACUAAUCACACCCAUUUACAGGACUGAUACAAGGCAAUUUUUUUUAUUUAUUUCCAGGAGCGAGCCUCAAGCUGUCAGGCCCACUGUGUCAGUAUUGAAAUGUUUCAGGCUGUCACAUCUCGCUACUUCCUUUGCUCUAAUGUGAUCGAUCUGAGCAGCCUCAGAGCCGUUUCUCUAUACCGAGCACUUUUACUGUAACAUUUCAGGCCCAGUUGACCCCCCUCCCCCCCAACACCCAAGGCCAUUAAAUUGGGGAGAAGAAGAAAAAACUAAACCUCAAGUGGAUUUCUGAGGAAGGUCCGUCCCCGAGCUAACAGGCACAUUAAUGACAGGAAUUGUACGCGUCAGUACCACCGGAGAGCCAAAGGAUUAAAUAAUGUGCAUGUAAUAGUCAGAUCUGAGGUCCUGGCCUUGAUGUGCAGAGAACAUGUGCAGAACUACUCUAAUGGUGAAAAGGAAAGAAACCGUUCUGAGACUUCUGCCUCUGCAGACAGGUCAGGGGAUAUUUUAUUUUUUUAUUUUUCUUUUCAUGGAAACCAUCUUUAAUUGCAAUUUUAAAAAAUCUAUCUACUUAAAACACAUUUUUUUAAAGCUGGAAAGAGUUUGGUUGAAAUCAGUUAAGGAUAAUAAAGAAUACAGUCUUUUUUCAUGGUGAGGUUUUUGACCAUGCACGGACUUUUGCUGAAAAAAAUAAUAUGUUUAAAGGCUUGGCAUUUCUUGAAGGGAUGCACAUUGCCAAAACACUUUUUUUGGUUAGAGUUGUAGAAUAACAUUUCUUGUAACCAUUUUGGGUAUAAAUUAAUGUUAUGCUCAAUCUAAUGCAAUAUUUUUUAAUUAGUUGUAGGGAAUACUCUCUGCUAUCACCACAUCAAAUUUUAGCCCAAUAUCUGUAAAACUGACUUAGUUAGAAACAUUUUUUGUGCUGGUAUGUGUCAAUUAGCUGUUUCAACAAAAUUAAACAGGACUUAAUUCAAAACCUAAUCAGUUGCAAGUGAACAAGAAAUGAUUAUUUCCUGAAAGUUUUAUUUAAAUGCAUGUAAUGUUUCAUGAGAUAUUUUGCUAACAGACAUAGUUGACUUCAAAUAGUUAAUGGCAAAUUUUUAAGCAAAGAAUUUGCACAGUUUGUUAGCCUUCACAUUGUACUUGGUAACUGUUGCAACUAAAACCAUCCCAAAUAUCAGAUCGCUAUCUAUAAAUUUAACUAGAGAAAUUGAAUUUCCUGUGAAAAUAUGCUAGUGUGGAUGCUUCUUGCUGAAAUCAUGAGCUGAAAGUUUAAGUUUAAUGCAAGUUCAUUUGAAACAUGAAGGAAGCAUAAAAAGCUCAAACUAGCAGAAAAAAGCUCAAAAGCCGAUAAAGCAGAAAAAUAGCUAAAAUUAGCAUAAUGAAAAACUAAAGGUAGCAAACACAAUCUAAAAUUAGCUUACAGAUGGUGAACGUGGAGUAAAAAAGCAAAAUUUGCAGAAAAAA
Long non-coding RNA from Austrofundulus limnaeus, 1772 nucleotides. RefSeq lists it as uncharacterized. The transcript has 3 exons. The record is from RefSeq and is a predicted model, not a curated record. NCBI's taxonomy places the organism in Eukaryota, Metazoa, Chordata, Actinopteri, Cyprinodontiformes, Rivulidae.